Phalacrocorax carbo (great cormorant) is the source of this 814-nucleotide non-coding RNA. Lineage: Eukaryota; Metazoa; Chordata; Aves; Suliformes; Phalacrocoracidae. The record is from RefSeq and is a predicted model, not a curated record.
CCGUGGUGAGGCUAUGGGAGGCGCGAGCUGGGUGCCUGGGCGCUGCCUGGACCCGUCCCGGGGCGGCUGCGCUCCUCCCGGCCCCGGAGGGGAAGGAGCCGGUGAGGGAAAGGCCUGUUUCCUUCCCUGCGUGACCGCGUCCGGGCGCUGUCACGGUGGGCUCGGAGCAGGCGGCGGCGCGCGCCUUCCUCAGAGCUCGCCAGGGAAGAUGAAGAAAUUCGUACCGUGAAUUUAAGUUCACCGGCACAGUUUAGCUUCCAUUAGUUAUCUUUCACAGGCUCUUUAGACGUAGAUGCGGUGUUCACAGGCGACAAACUGAAGAGGCAGAGUCGACUUCUAGCGACAUGCAAUAUUUUACAGUAAAAAUAGAGCUGAGGAAGCUGCACUGCGUAGGAUGCGGAAUAACUUACACAGUCUGGUAUUUGCUGUGAUAAGGAAGGACAGUACUCUGACAGUAAAGGAAAAUACGUUCACAGUUCAUUUUUCUCCAAACUUGUUCCUCUCUACAAAUGAGCUGAUUUUCUGUUCCUGGAAGACUUGCUCUCCUGAGGCCCUUGUUCUUUUAACACGUUGAAUUUAUCUAAGUUACAGAUUUUGAUGUGCCAGUCUUUUUGUGUUACAGUCUUGAGCAAACCAGAAAUCAAACCUAAUGUGGAAUCAAGAAAAGUAGCAUGCAGCAAUUAGAGCCAGUUAGAGCAUUAGGAUGCUGAAAAGUUUUCCCCGUAUAUACAUUGUCAUGCUGCAAAUCAUCUGUCUCACUCUUCCAUGUUACCGUGUGAACAAGCUUUCAUGUUCAAUAAAGAAGUGGAAAUCA